Molecule: ribosomal RNA, 383 nt
Filed under: Enteridium variabile
Lineage: Eukaryota; Evosea; Eumycetozoa; Liceales; Reticulariaceae
Description: SSU rRNA
Rfam family: Bacterial small subunit ribosomal RNA
Source: RNAcentral
GCGUAGGGUAUGUAGGCUGUAGAAAUAAGGAGAAAAUUAAAUACUGGGUAGUCAUCCUUUACGUUUUCUUAUCAAUUUCACUAGAAUUUAGAUGGGACGCGGGUAUCUAUAUGGACAGGUAAAAUGGUAAGAUAUAACGAGGACCGACAGUGGUGAAGACACGUUUCCAUUAAGUAUUGACGUAAUAUACGAAGGCAUGGGGAUAAAGAGGAUUAGAGACCUCGUAGUCCAUGCUAUAACGCUGCGUAUUCAAUGUGGCAGCUUAAUAUUCCCGAUAUAUAAUAUUGAGGAGACUGUGGUGUUUGAGCUAACGCGUUAAAUACGCCGCUGGGAAGUACGGUCGCAAGGUGAAACUCAAAAGAAUUGACGGUGAUUGGACAGGG